GCAAUCGAGAAAAAUAAAAUAGUCGACAGUGUUCCUAACACAGAAAGAUGAACACAUACAUUCAGAACAGAGUUCAAUCAUACCAAGUCAAAGAAAUAUACAAGUGGAUUGAGAAGUCUGGACUAUUUUCAGACAUGGACAGAAGCAGAAUGUAAGACUUUGACGCUAAAUGAGUGUGAGAGAGGAUCAAGUUUGUAGACAGCACCGGACCACACAAUCUUCCCCCAAAUCUCGCCUCCAUCGCCUCUCUCCACGGAAAUCUCAGCACACCAAUCAUGGGACUUAUCUCUCUUUACUUUCAAUAUUUUCUCACUUUCUAAUCCUAUCCUUCUAAUUUUAUUUAGAUGUCAAUCAUUGUGAAUAGGAUUAUGAGCCUGCUUAGUUGCAUUGGACUCCAAUUGGGUGAAUUGGCUAAGAAAUUUCGACAUGGUGCAUUCAUAUAAUUCGACUGCAACCUCUAUAAAGCUGGAAAACAUGAAUGAACAUACGCCUCUGUGGAUUGCACAGAUCUCUAUCUGCUUCUUUUUGGAUGAACGGAGGGAGAAAGACCUAGGCAUACUCAGUGAUCCCAUGAAUUUUGUGCUCCUAGGUACAUCAUUUGGGGCUCGUACAGUGUAGUUGUGAAUCUCACUAAGAUGCCAACGAGACCUUCCAAGAAAUCAGUUGCAUACCUGCUUGUUCGUGCUCCACUUCUUUGAAUCAGAUGGAUUGCAUGCAGAAUUUCAGACACUAUGCUCUCGUUGACCAGUGCUAAAUUAAGAGUCAGAUUCUGAUGAGGAAGUUUAGCAAGUAACUUGGCUGAAACAGCAUGCUUUUCUGUUAUUUGAUUUGCUUCUACUGGGCACUGGAUAAGAUUCUCUGGCUGACCUCUAGUUUUACAUAGUCUCUCUGAUAGCGUGUGACCGAUGUAGGGGGUAAGGGCUAUUAGAAGUUUUAAUGCUCCAACCCCUAAUUCGUCAUGAGGAUUGUUGAUGAGUUCUAUCAUGGCAAAGCUUGCGUCGGUUUCUUUGAUCACUGAGACGAUUGUUGCCAUCGCUCUAGGUGAUUUGGACAAGGAUAGGAGAAUCCUGAUCAAAUCAAUGUUAAGAUCAUCUGGGCUUGAGUUCUUGAGCAUGUGGAUGAUGUUGUAUACAAAGUAAUCCGAGCCUAAUGUGUGGCCAUGAGUAUUCACCUCAAAGGUCUCAUGUUCCAGCCCAGAUUCCAGUAUGUUUGCAAGUAUUGUAGCAGCUUCGUUCCUGGAGUUCAUCAGAUCACUAAACACUCGCUUCGUGAACAUUUCUUCGACCAUGAUCUUGAUGAUGCCGACCUCUACCAGUAUCUUGUUGUUGGGGUGAUACAAUGAAAUAUGAGCAAGAGCUUUGAAGGCGGCUCUUCUAGCGUCAAUAUUUUCACUUUGCACCAGCCCAAUGAGCGCAGGGCAAGCCUUCUCAGCUACAUAAGUUUUUUUCUCAUGUCCAAUAUCAAUUUCCACAAGGUAAUGCUUGUAUAGCAACUAUGCUUCAUAAACUUUGGAGAGAAAAGCAGUAAUGAAUUACCUUCUGCUAGAUGGCCCAGAAGAGGUUCCAAUAGUCCACUCUCUGCCAUUUGCUUGAUGUUCUCAGGACACUUCUCUAAAUUUCUUAAGAUUUGGUCUGAUGUUUCAGAUGCAAAGGAAUCCAACUCCCUGUUAUACUUUGCGGUAACUAACAUUAGUAUCGCCCCUCUAGCAGUCCCAAUCUUCUCACAUGCAUGUUGGGAUUUUGAAAGCUCAAGCAGUAAGGCUUGUGCUGCAUGUCUUACAGGCUGGUGACUGCUUCCCAAAAGUUUGAUUACGCAUGACAUAGUUAUUGUCUUCACAAUCAUUUCCUGUAAGACAACUUUGAAAUAUAAAAGUCUAUUGAAACAAGAAGUAGAACUGCUGUGUCUAGCUAGGACAAAUAAUCACAGCAGCGCAUAUCGUCUAAGGUAGUGUGCUAUUGCAUAAUAGGUAUGUGAAAGAGAUCCAACCUUUCCGUCAUCAGUUUCUUCAUCUGCCAGUGUCCUUAAGAACUUUAGUAGUUCAAACCUCACAUCUUUACUUCUGUACGUCAGGUAUCUAUCAAGCAGCUGAAUGAUCCCAGCUUCACGGACUUGUACCUUGUUGUACUCUUUCCCUUCACAGGUCAUUUGCAGAUCUCUUAACGCGUCGAUGACCAUACUUUCUGAACCGCCUAAGGAUAAAGCUGCAUGAGCCACUUUGAUUCUUGCUGCCUCGUUACGUACUUUCCAUUCCUGAAUGAUGGUUUUCAAGACAACAUUUGCACUUAAUUCAGUGGUCAACUUUUGACCCGUAACUGGACAGUUGAUCUCAUCGGAGUUUCCAAAACUGUCAAACCACUCUAUUACUGCUUGUCUUUCGCAGGUUACUCCUGUUUCUGUGGUGACUGGAUCUUCCAUUAUCUCUUUGGUCAACGGGCAGAUGAAAGCUUGGUAUGGAGGUUCCAUGAACUGUGUCACCUGUGGUAACAUUGACAAUGAUUCACUAAGAUUUCCAUACUUUCUCUGGCUGCUAGCAUUCGAGCUCUGGCUUGGGAUAUCUGGUAUUUCGGUACUUUGUGAUUGUGAUUUACUGAGAUUCCCAUGCUUUCUCUGGCUGCUAACAUUUGUGCUCUGGCUUGGGAUAUCUGGUAUUUCGGUUACUAGUGAUUGUGAUUCACUAUGAUUUCCAUGCUUUCUCUGGCGGCUAACAUCUGUGCUCUUGCUUGGGAUAUCUGGUAUAUCAGUCAUUUGUGAUUGUGAUUCACUAUACAUCAUGUAACUUUCAUAGGAAAAUUCAGGAUCAGUGGGAUAGAGGUCUUCCUCCAUUUGCUCAGACACAAUAUCCGGUGUAUGCUUUGCAGAAAUCUUCUGCUGCCCAUUGUUUAUCAUCUCACUUUUACUACCAUCUCCAAUGGUAGCAUUUUGCAUCUCAUUUGAAAGAGACUGAAUAACAACUCCUAUAUAUUCUUCCUCGUCGAAUGUUGAUUCAGGUAUGGACUGCAAAGUUUCACCCAUCUGCUUUACAACGCCUUCAAAACCUGCCUCAAUGCUUCUCAGAUCAGUAGUUGAUUCGGCUUCGUUGCUUUCUUGAGAUUUCUCAACCAGUUUCUUGGCAACAUCUACACUAUCGGAUAGUGAUUCAAAAAUAUCAAUUGAACAUAUGACGUUGCUCUCUGCUGUCUGUAUCUCCAUUAACACAACUGAAACUCGAUAAAAGUAGCAAGCGCAUUCGAGGAACCUCUCUGUUUCUGCUUGUAAGGACUCCAAGGAUGUGAUUACCUCAGAAAUGGACCUCAACAACGAUCCAAUUAGUGUAUCACUUGUGCCUAUAUCUUCUUCUUGACUCUGAGAUCACAUAAAUAGGGAGAAAGGUGAGAUUUCGUUGGUUUGAGAAUUUGAUGAUUCGAAAGAUACGAUCAAGAAUUUUUUUGAAGGUGCAAAAGGAAAAAAACAAGAGAAGAUUGAAGAAAGUCUUACCGACAUCCCAUUUGUUCAAAGCUGGUCUUGUCUUACUCUGCUUACCAAGUCUCCAACUGUAACUUCAUCAAGCAGAAGACUUGAAGGACACACUUGGUCCUCUGUUUCAGAGAAGUUGGAACCCACUAAAGGUAAAUUUGUUGCUCUGACGAUGAUUGAUGAGACGACUUUUUAGGAGGAAGUGGGGACACAGUAAAAUUCCAUAGGACUAUGUAAAGAAGUUGAAGGAGUCAAAUCAGAAACUCUGAUUCAGAGUACUUACUUUGUUAAGCCAUAUAAAGCCCCAAACAUUUUCUUUACGAAAACAUGUGUUUGGAUUUUGUUGACUUUGUUUGUUUCUUCUUGCACUAUCUCUCUGCAGAUUGGUCAGACCACAAACCAAAAGGUGAAUGAAUGAUGAUGGUUAGAGAAAGUUGAUCUGAAACUUCUUGUGGUUUGAUUUUUGACAUUUUCCUGAUAUUUAAAUGUAGUUUGUUUAAAUAAUAGAAGGAUUCGGUAGGUACUGUCCAAUGUCACUAUCUUGCUUUCUUUUAUGGGUAAUUUAUUUAAAGAUAAAAUCUUGAAUUGGUAAAAAGAUAUGCCAUUGGAUCACAUUGACUUGUAUAUAU
This 4082-nucleotide long non-coding RNA is filed under the name Arabidopsis thaliana (thale cress). RNAcentral's name for it is "natural antisense transcript overlaps with AT1G68940 (AT1G09023)". Lineage: Eukaryota; Viridiplantae; Streptophyta; Magnoliopsida; Brassicales; Brassicaceae. The record is from RNAcentral.